This is a non-coding RNA of Pelobates cultripes (western spadefoot toad), 389 nucleotides long. Lineage: Eukaryota; Metazoa; Chordata; Amphibia; Anura; Pelobatidae. The record is from the annotation of a GenBank genome assembly.
GAAGAAGAAUCCUAGAGUGUCAGCUAAAGACUUACAAAAGUCAUUGGCAAAUGCUAACAUCCCUGUUAGCGAAUCUACAAUAUGUAAAACACUAAACAAGAAUUGAUUUCAUGAGAGGAUACCACAGAGGAAGCCACUGCUGUCCAAACAAAACAUUGCUGCACGUUUACAGUUUGCACAAGAGCACCCGGAUGUUCCACAGCAGUACUGGCAAAAUAUUCUGUGGACAGAUGAAAGUUGAGUUGUUUGGAAGAAACACACGACACUAUGUGUGGCAAAAAAAAAGGCACAGCACACCAACAUCAAAACCUCAUCCCAACUGUGAAGUAUGGUGGUGGGGGCAUCCUGGUUUGGGGCUGCUUUGCUGCGUCAGGGCCUGGACGGAUUGC